UACAGAGGGUGCGAGCGUUAAUCGGAAUUACUGGGCGUAAAGCGCGCGUAGGCGGCUUUGCAAGUCGGGUGUGAAAUCCCCAGGCUCAGCCUGGGAACUGCAUUCGAGACUGCAUUGCUAGAGUAUGGGAGAGGGAAGUGGAAUUUCCGGUGUAGCGGUGAAAUGCGUAGAUAUCGGAAGGAACAUCAGUGGCGAAGGCGGCUUCCUGGACACCAACUGACGCUGAGACGCGAAAGCGUGGGGAGCAAACAGG
RNAcentral lists this ribosomal RNA (253 nucleotides) under uncultured bacterium. RNAcentral describes it as "partial 16S ribosomal RNA". It matches the Rfam family "Bacterial small subunit ribosomal RNA", at positions 524 to 776 of the family's 1533-position model. The record is from RNAcentral.